UCGACGAUCUUUUGGGCGAUCGCUGUCGUCGCUGCGGCAUUUCAUUUGUGUGGAGGGGAAGCGUGGCGGGUGGCGCUCGAUUGGACUUUGGGGGGCGCCGCGCCGGGGAUUUUUGGUCGGCGCGGGCGUGUCGGUGGCCGGGCGGGCGAUGAGGCGAGGCUGUCUGGCCGUGGGCGUGGCCGCUGCCGUGGAGCGCGCGCGUGGAUCUCACACGUCACGUGCGACCUGUGGCUAGGUCAACUGCGCGGUCGGAGGCGAUCAAGGCGCGCGAGAAUGUUUUUCGUUUGGGGGACCCGAGGGUGAGAAAUAGGCCGGCAGCAAAAGGUACGGAUGGAGGACAGCCCAUCACUUCACUACUUCGG
This 362-nucleotide long non-coding RNA is filed under the name Setaria italica (foxtail millet). Its description in RNAcentral is "long non-coding RNA (SITA_LNC007292)". The record is from RNAcentral. Lineage: Eukaryota; Viridiplantae; Streptophyta; Magnoliopsida; Poales; Poaceae.